UGAGGAAUAUUGGACAAUGGGCGAAAGCCUGAUCCAGCGACGCCGCGUGAGUGACGAAGGCCUUCGGGUCGUAAAGCUCUGUCAGAAGGGAAGAACGGCUUUAUGGUUAACAGCCAUAGAGAUUGACGGUACCUUCAGAGGAAGCACCGGCUAACUCCGUGCCAGCAGCCGCGGUAAUACGGAGGGUGCAAGCGUUAAUCGGAAUCACUGGGCGUAAAGGGCGCGUAGGCGGUUAUGCAAGUCAGAUGUGAAAGCCCACGGCUCAACCGUGGAAGUGCAUCUGAAACUGCAUGACUUGAGUACUGGAGGGGAAAGUGGAAUUCCCGGUGUAGAGGUGAAAUUCGUAGAGAUCGGGAGGAAUACCGGUGGCGAAGGCGACUUUCUGGACAGAUACUGACGCUGAGGCGCGAAAGCAUGGGGAGCAAACAGGAUUAGAUACCCUGGUAGUCCAUAGCUGUAAACGAUGUGCACUAGAUGUAAGGGG
Molecule: ribosomal RNA, 484 nt
Filed under: uncultured Pseudomonadota bacterium
Lineage: Bacteria; Pseudomonadati; Pseudomonadota
Description: bacterial SSU rRNA
Rfam family: Bacterial small subunit ribosomal RNA
Source: RNAcentral